GAUGAACGCUGGCGGCGUGCCUAAUACAUGCAAGUCGAACGAAACUUCUUUAUCACCGAGUGCUUGCACUCACCGAUAAAGAGUUGAGUGGCGAACGGGUGAGUAACACGUGGGCAACCUGCCCAAAAGAGGGGGAUAACACUUGGAAACAGGUGCUAAUACCGCAUAACCAUAGUUACCGCAUGGUAACUAUGUAAAAGGUGGCUAUACUACCGCUUUUGGAUGGGCCCGCGGCGCAUUAGCUAGUUGGUAGGGUAAAGGCUUACCAAGGCAAUGAUGCGUAGCCGAAUUGAGAGGUUGAUCGGCCACAUUGGGACUGAGACACGGCCCAAACUCCUACGGGAGGCAGCAGUAGGGAAUCUUCCACAAUGGGCGAAAGCCUGAUGGAGCAACGCCGCGUGGGUGAAGAAGGUCUUCGGAUCGUAAAACCCUGUUGUUAGAGAAGAAAGUGCGUGAGAGUAACUGUUCACGUUUCGACGGUAUCUAACCAGAAAGCCUCGGCUAACUACGU
This 511-nucleotide ribosomal RNA is filed under the name uncultured bacterium. Its description in RNAcentral is "partial 16S ribosomal RNA". It matches the Rfam family "Bacterial small subunit ribosomal RNA", at positions 28 to 506 of the family's 1533-position model. The record is from RNAcentral.